This 422-nucleotide ribosomal RNA is filed under the name uncultured bacterium. RNAcentral's name for it is "bacterial SSU rRNA". It matches the Rfam family "Bacterial small subunit ribosomal RNA", at positions 355 to 774 of the family's 1533-position model. The record is from RNAcentral.
UGAGGAAUAUUGGACAAUGGGCGCAAGCCUGAUCCAGCCAUGCCGCGUGCAGGAAGAAGCAUCUAUGGUGUGUAAACUGCUUUUGUACGGGAAGAAACACUCCUUCGUGAAGGAGCUUGACGGUACCGUAAGAAUAAGGAUCGGCUAACUCCGUGCCAGCAGCCGCGGUAAUACGGAGGAUCCAAGCGUUAUCCGGAAUCAUUGGGUUUAAAGGGUCCGUAGGCGGUUUAGUAAGUCAGUGGUGAAAGCCCAUCGCUCAACGAUGGAACGGCCAUUGAUACUGCUAGACUUGAAUUACAAGGAAGUAACUAGAAUAUGUAGUGUAGCGGUGAAAUGCUUAGAUAUUACAUGGUAUACCAAUUGCGAAGGCAGGUUACUACUUGUGGAUUGACGCUGAUGGACGAAAGCGUGAGGAGCGAACA